This 440-nucleotide ribosomal RNA is filed under the name uncultured bacterium. RNAcentral describes it as "partial 16S ribosomal RNA". It matches the Rfam family "Bacterial small subunit ribosomal RNA", at positions 338 to 795 of the family's 1533-position model. The record is from RNAcentral.
CCUACGGGAGGCAGCAGUGGGGAAUAUUGCACAAUGGGGGAAACCCUGAUGCAGCGACGCCGCGUGAGUGAAGAAGUAAUUCGUUAUGUAAAGCCCUAUCAGCAGGGAAGAAAAUGACGGUUACUGAGUAAGAAGCCCCGGCUAAAUACGGUCCAGCAGCCGCGGUAAUACGUAGGGGGCAAGCGUUAUCCGGAUUUACUGGGUGUAAAGGGAGCGGCGACGGCCGUGCAAGUCUGGAGGGAAAGGCGGGGGCUCAACCCCCGGACUGCCCUGGAAACUGGACGGCUGGAGUGCCGGAGGGGUAAGUGGAAUUCCUAGUGUAGCGGUGAAAUGCGUAGAUAUUAGGAGGAACACCAGUGGCGAAGGCGGCUUACUGGACUGUAACUGACGUUGAGGCUCGAAAGCGUGGGGAGCAAACAGGAUUAGAUACCCGAGUAGUC